UUCUUCAACCUCAGAUCAAGUAGGAUUACCCGCUGAACUUAAGCAUAUCAAUAAGCGGAGGAAAAGAAACCACCAGGGAUUGCCUUAGUAACGGCGAGUGAAGCGGCAAAAGCUCAAAUUUGAAAUCGGCCAUCAGGUCGAGUUGUAAUUUGUAGAUUGUACUUUGAGAGCGGAUUAAAGUCUGUUGGAACACAGCGCCUUAGAGGGUGACAGCCCCGUAAAAUCUAUUCUCAUUGUAAGGUACUUUCGAAGAGUCGAGUUGUUUGGGAAUGCAGCUCUAAGUGGGAGGUAAAUUCCUUCUAAAGCUAAAUAUUGACGAGAGACCGAUAGCGAACAAGUACUGUGAAGGAAAGAUGAAAAGCACUUUGAAAAGAGAGUGAAAAAGUACGUGAAAUUGUUAAAAGGGAAGGGUAUUGAAUCAGACGUGGUGCUGUUGUUCAACUUUGUUUCGGCAUGGUGUACUCAGCAGUACUAGGCCAAGGUGGGGUGUUUGGGAGUGAAAAAGGAAUAGGAACGUAGCUCUUCGGAGUGUUAUAAYCUAUUUUCAUAGCUCCUCAGGCGCCUCAGGACUGCGCUUCGGCAAGGACUUUGGCAUAAUGAUUCUAUACCGCCCGUCUUGAAACACGGACCAAGGAGUCUAACGUCUAUGCGAGUGUUUGGGUGUAAAACCCGUACGCGUAAUGA
RNAcentral lists this ribosomal RNA (684 nucleotides) under Geotrichum pseudocandidum. RNAcentral's name for it is "LSU rRNA". It matches the Rfam family "Eukaryotic large subunit ribosomal RNA", at positions 1 to 722 of the family's 3401-position model. The record is from RNAcentral. Lineage: Eukaryota; Fungi; Ascomycota; Dipodascomycetes; Dipodascales; Dipodascaceae.